CGAGAAUAGAACAUAUUUUAUAACAAAAGAAGAAUUCUGGAAGAAGUAUAAAGGAAAGAGACAUUCUCCACCAAAAUUCUUAACAAAAGANNNNGAGACAAUAGCAAUCCCUUUUCCCCCUUUUUGGUUGGCGGAAGUGGAGAACUGGAGAUCUAAGAGAAAAACAGGUGAACCAGUAUUUUUGUGAAUUAUGGAAACAGGCAACCAACUUUGCAUGAAAAUAAAAUCUGAAAAAGUAGACUCCAAAGCAGAACCGAUAACAUGUAUAACAGAUGGAAACCCCAUGACCUGUGCCUAUAAGCAAACCAGGUGCAUCUAGGCCUCUUCCUGAUAUUCUUCUUCAUCCUCGUACUCAUCUCCUUCCUCAUCUGCAGUUGCAUCCUGGUAUUGCUGAUACUCUGACACCAAAUCAUUCAUGUUACUCUCUGCCUCUGUGAACUCCA
This 443-nucleotide unclassified non-coding RNA is filed under the name Hevea brasiliensis (rubber tree). The record is from RNAcentral. Lineage: Eukaryota; Viridiplantae; Streptophyta; Magnoliopsida; Malpighiales; Euphorbiaceae.